This 257-nucleotide ribosomal RNA is filed under the name uncultured bacterium. RNAcentral describes it as "partial 16S ribosomal RNA". It matches the Rfam family "Bacterial small subunit ribosomal RNA", at positions 795 to 1052 of the family's 1533-position model. The record is from RNAcentral.
CCACGCCGUAAACGUUGGGCGCUAGGUGUGGGGGCCAUUCCACGGUCUCCGUGCCGCAGCUAACGCAUUAAGCGCCCCGCCUGGGGAGUACGGCCGCAAGGCUAAAACUCAAAGGAAUUGACGGGGGCCCGCACAAGCGGCGGAGCAUGUUGCUUAAUUCGAUGCAACGCGAAGAACCUUACCUAGGCUUGACAUGCACGGAAAUCUCGCAGAGAUGCGGGGUCCGUAAGGGCCGUGCACAGGUGGUGCAUGGUUGU